Alosa alosa (allis shad) is the source of this 139-nucleotide small nucleolar RNA. RefSeq annotates it as small nucleolar RNA SNORA31. The record is from RefSeq and is a predicted model, not a curated record. NCBI's taxonomy places the organism in Eukaryota, Metazoa, Chordata, Actinopteri, Clupeiformes, Clupeidae. The transcript has a single exon.
AAGCAUCUACUGAUAGACCUGAAGCCUCUCCCAGUGGCAUCUGGGUUUGCAAUCUGAUGCGAGAGAAGUUUCCUUGCGCUUUCUGCCCUGUGGCGCUUUCUGUCCUGUGGCAAGGUGGAUUGAAUAGAGGAAGACAGUC